This 725-nucleotide ribosomal RNA is filed under the name Bifidobacterium sp. HGH0116. RNAcentral's name for it is "bacterial SSU rRNA". It matches the Rfam family "Bacterial small subunit ribosomal RNA", at positions 60 to 795 of the family's 1533-position model. The record is from RNAcentral. Lineage: Bacteria; Bacillati; Actinomycetota; Actinomycetes; Bifidobacteriales; Bifidobacteriaceae.
AGUCGACGGGAUCCAUCAAGCUUGCUUGGUGGUGAGAGUGGCGAACGGGUGAGUAAUGCGUGACCGACCUGCCCCAUGCUCCGGAAUAGCUCCUGGAAACGGGUGGUAAUGCCGGAUGUUCCACAUGAUCGCAUGUGAUUGUGGGAAAGAUUCUAUCGGCGUGGGAUGGGGUCGCGUCCUAUCAGCUUGUUGGUGAGGUAACGGCUCACCAAGGCUUCGACGGGUAGCCGGCCUGAGAGGGCGACCGGCCACAUUGGGACUGAGAUACGGCCCAGACUCCUACGGGAGGCAGCAGUGGGGAAUAUUGCACAAUGGGCGCAAGCCUGAUGCAGCGACGCCGCGUGAGGGAUGGAGGCCUUCGGGUUGUAAACCUCUUUUGUUUGGGAGCAAGCCUUCGGGUGAGUGUACCUUUCGAAUAAGCGCCGGCUAACUACGUGCCAGCAGCCGCGGUAAUACGUAGGGCGCAAGCGUUAUCCGGAUUUAUUGGGCGUAAAGGGCUCGUAGGCGGCUCGUCGCGUCCGGUGUGAAAGUCCAUCGCUUAACGGUGGAUCUGCGCCGGGUACGGGCGGGCUGGAGUGCGGUAGGGGAGACUGGAAUUCCCGGUGUAACGGUGGAAUGUGUAGAUAUCGGGAAGAACACCGAUGGCGAAGGCAUGUCUCUGGGCCGUCACUGACGCUGAGGAGCGAAAGCGUGGGGAGCGAACAGGAUUAGAUACCCUGGUAGUC